UUUUUUUUUUUUUUUUUUUUGUCGACGGAGUGGGGUGUCCGGGUCAAGUCCGUAAAGGCGGCCCGACUAAUUCCCACUCCGGCCCGGUCCAGCACCCCAACCAGACCUAGCACGUUAAAUACACGGCGAACUGAUGUUGCUGCGGAGGUUCGACCCCAGGACCUAACGGUCCCGAGGAGGAGGCGCCAACCACCAGCCCAUUCACGUGUUGAUUGAUAGCAUAGAUGAGCAUAUUUUUGGUACUGGAUGACGUGGCAACCUUGGUGAAGCAAAUUGGAGAACCACGAAAAGAUGAGUCUAGAGCCUAGACUCGCAAAAUGGAAAAAAAAAAAAAAACCCAUUACUUUUUUCAAGUUUGUAAAUUCAAAUACCUUAGAAAUUAGUACCAUAAAUAUUAUUUAAAAAAAAAAAGAAAUUCAUUCCACAAUUUAAAUGAAAACAAAAAUUGAUCCGUAUAUAUAUAUUUUUAAAGUGUACGAGGUCGCCAUCGUACCUAUGCUUGGUCACCAGAUGGUGGAUCAAAAUCAACAUCUCCAGUUUGGCGAGGUCAUUUCCGGGACAGGCGUGGGCUCCACUGCCAAAUGGCAUGAAGGUGUUGGGCUUGGGGGCCACCUGAAUCAAAGGCCACCGCAAAUACAAUAAACAAAGUACUGUAGAAGAACAAUAAUAAUAAUCUCGAAAAACGAGAACCAUCAGUAAAAUUUGGUACUCAUUAGAAAGAAGAAACAAAAGUCGUGUGAUAUCUCCAAAAUCGGAUACCUCAAAUCUUGCAGGAUCAAAACUUUUGGGGUCCACGAAAUGGUCGGGAUUGUGAUGAAUAUUUCUGAAUAGCGGCAUCACCUUCCACCCUUUUGGUAUGAGAAAUCCUGUUUCAAUAUGAAUCAUGCACGAGUUAAGAUUUACUAUACGUACAUCCAUAUACAUGAAAAAUUGAAAAUACUAGCACUAUAAUAUGAUCAUUGAGACGAGGAAAUAAAUCGAGAAGUUUGUAUAUAACUAUAUCUAUAUAUGUAUAUCACAUGGUAAAAAGGUGUGAGUUUGGAACCUUACCAUCAUAUUCUACGUCAGUCACAGCUUCCCUGAAGGUGAAUGAUAUGAUGCUAGCCAUCCUUAAGCUUUCUAAUAUUACCUGCCAUUCCAAUUAGGAUGGUGAAUUUUGCUUAUCAGAGGAUCAGUUCAUUAAUCUUUCUCUCGAAUUGUCACCAUGGAGGAUAAAGUAAUGGGGAGUAGUAAUUACCUUGUGUGUCAGCGGCAUAUUUCUCGUUUGAGCCCAUGUCAAGGGUUGCUUUCCUUCUUGAUUUAAGGUCCAGACAGCCCUUUGCUCUAUCUGCAGCAAGAUUUUGGACGAAAAAUGAGACCACUGGUAUAAAAAUAAUUGGUCCGCGGCUUUACUGUUUUAUUUUACUAGCUAGAGUACUUCUUUUCUUGCCUAGCUAGAAGAGAGGAUCAAAAUGGUCAGGUAUUAAUUCACCUUGACAGCUUCUAAAAGUUUCUGGUUAUCGUGGAGGUACUUGAGAAUCCAGGUUAGGACACUAGCGGUUGUGUCUUGAGCAGCAAACAGCACUCCUAUGAUGUUGUCAGCGAUUUGAUCCUCUGUCAAAGUUUGCCCUCUCUCAUCUUUGAAGUUGAGCAGGUAACCCAACAGAUCUUUAUCCAAUAGCUUUUUCUGCUUCCUCUCACUGAUUAUUUCCCUUAUGAUCUGAUUCAACCUUUUCCUUGCCUUGCCAUAAUUCACCGUGAAAAAGACAAGACGAGUCAGCAAGAAAGCUCCUUUCCAAUUAAGGCAGCAACCUGAUCUCGAAGAGCUUAUCACCACUUACCAAUAGAGAUUUAUGAUACGCUGUUCCUGGCAAGUUUGUGGGAAAAGAAUUGUACCCUUUAUCUACAAUGGAAUAGUUCUCCUUUAGUGCGUUCUUAUACUUGAUUUCUAGGUGACCGAAGAUAGCAAGGAUGCCGACCUCAAAAGAUAACUGCGCAAGUUAGAUCCGCGAAAUCGUCAUGUCAUGUGCGAGGAAAAUAAUGAAACAUAUGACAAAUUGGAGGUCCCGGAAACCAUAAGGUUAGAAGGACCCAUCAAGAAAAAACAAAUUUCUAAGAGACCCCGUAUGAAAAUAGUCAAAUACUCUAGCUAUGCUACAAUGAACAAGACAACAAAGUCGUCAGGGCACUCUCCAAAAAUACCUUCUUCAUCUCAUGGAAUGUGUUGGUGAUCAGACCGGACUCCCAAGUUUGCAUGCAAGAAAUGAUUAUAGCUUCAAUAUCCGGAACCAGCUUUCGAAGGGCCUCUGGAGAUAACGAGUUAUGAACCAGCUUCUUCAAGUGAGUGUGGUAGUUUCCUUCGUGGAAAAACAAUGCCCAGGGGCCGAUCAUCGUCUCUUUACUCCUGGGAUAGGUUGGUUUGAACAAGUGAGAAUGAGUAACCAACACGAACCGAGAGGCUUCAGGGCUAGCCAACAUGAUACAAGGGCAGCCAAGUAUCUUGGUCUUGAACAUAUCUCCAUAUCUGUGCGUAAGAACAAGAAAAUCAUCAGCUCGUGAUCUCUGCAGUUUCUGGCAGCGGGACAUAAAUUUAAAGGAGGAUGUGAAAAUCAACUAGUGUUAAUAGCUAGCUGAGUCAUGCAAACCGUUUUUGCUUCUGAGCAAAGAAAACAUUCGGAUCUUGGGAGUACAAUUGAAGAGUCUCUCCUAUGUAAGGCCAUCCCAUAGAGCCAGGAGGCAACUUUGCUCUUCCUUUGUUUGUUCUCUCCUUGUUCUUCGAUAGGCAAUAAUAAAGAGCAGUAGAGAAAAGGAUGAGGAUGUAUAUAAGCGUAGAAACAAUAUUAUCCAUACGAGUUCUUUCUCCCUUUGCUCUCCCUUCUGUUCCUCUCCCGUUCUCCAAGCUGCAGUAUUCUAUGACCAAGCUUUGUUAAUUGUGUUUUUCUAUCGGAGCUUCAGGGGGUGGAUAAUGGAUGUACUGAGCAACGAAGGUAGUUGCCAAAUGAUGGCUUAGUCAAUGAGAAGGAUAGCGAAGGUUUAUGGUUUAUAUAGAAAUUGAGGGGCAAGGAGCAGAGGGAAAAGGACGGAUAUGGAUCUGAAUUUAAAUAAAGGGGCUUUGCCAAAUUUGGGUGAAAAGUCCUCCUAGCUGUUAAUAUGGCACUGUUGCAUUCACAAAUCACCCAAUGAUAAAGAAAGUUUUGGACCACUUUUAAGUUUUACCCUGAGAUAAACAUGAGCUAACUCCGGAGUUCGGAUAGAAAAUUUGAGGAUGAAAAGCGAUCGAGAAAGGAAAGCAUAUUGCUACCUUGUUUUUGUUUUGUUUGCUUGUUUGUUUGUUUGCUUUUUUUUUUUUUUUUUGACCUCCUUCUCUAGCUCAACGGAUUUUACAUUUUUACUUCAGAUUCCUUGCAACUAUGGUAUGUUAUUGGAAUUUACAUAUAGAACCAUGUAAAUAGUAUCAUUUUAACAGAAAUUACACGGUAUUAUCCUUCAUCGAAAUUUUGCUAAAUACUCUCUUCCAGCAAUUAAAUGAUAAGCAAAUUUAGCUCACGAGUAACCGAAAAGUCUAGCACUGGCAGGAGCGGUAUUGCCAUUGUGGGGGAUGACUUCUACUUGCUGUACCAUUUACGCCAACGAAAAUGUUGUAACCUAGAGCGUGUUUGAAUUGAGUAAUAUUUAAAAUAAUUAUCAUAACACUUUUUAUAUUUGAUAUAUAUGAAAUAAAAUGUGAUUGAAAAUAUACAAAUAUAUGUUAAAAAAAACGUGUUUAUGAUACAAGCAAAAUAAUAUUUUGACAAAAAAAAAUUUGUAUCAAAACGCACCAAUGUUUGGAUGAAAGACUACUUGAAAAGUUUUUUGAAAUAACAUUCUAGCAUUUUUUAAUUAAAAAAUGUGACAUAAAAACUUAAGUAGACAACAAGUUAAAGAUGCAAGCAAAAAAAAUUUAUAGAUGCUAAGACGUAUGAUCAAUUUAAAUGUCUCUUUUCAAAUUAGAAUUAACUUUCCCAUUCCCAAAGGGAUAUGAAUAAGGUCAUUUGGAUUGUGAGUUUUUGAAAAUUUUGUAAAAAAAAAAAAAAAAAAUACUGUAAUGAUAUUAUAUAUGUGAGGUAAAAAAAAGGAAUUGAAAAAUGUGCAGACAAAAUUUUUCUGUGAAAACUCGCAACCCAAACAAGGUCGUUUAUAUUUUUCCUCUCAUUUAUAUAUCUUAUUUGAUUGAUGAUACCAACCGUGGUGAAUAAGCUAAUAAUGUAUACAGCAUUAAAUUGUUGAUGCGAAAAAUUACUUGAUUUGUGAAGUAAAUUUGAAGUCGUUUGGCAGUAAUUUGGGUACGCUGAUGGCAGAAGUGAUCCAAAGAUGAGUAUAAUUUUAAAUCAGAGCCAACACAUUUACAAGUUAAGAGUUUGAAUGCUCAAUCCUAACAUUAAUUUGUUGCUAAAACUAACGUUGAUGAAUAUAUGGGGUUUACGCCAAAUUGUAGAAUUCGGAGAGGAGUAAAAUGUGAGGUUCCAGCUGAUGGGUAUUUUGUCUUUGGCCCCACAUUCUCAAUGCUUCAGAGUCGGACGACUGGAUUUGGUUGAUACUUAUAUGAUAUGGGGAAAUUAAGUUGCGUCUUCGAUAAGUUGAUUUGAAGUUUCAAUGAAACGGUUUAGACCCAAACUGCCUCAAUUUCACCAUGUCUGUCCCAAGUAAUAAAGGUCUGAUUUUCACCAAUUAAGCAUAUUUUGCUCAAAACAAAUGCUUGACAAGCUGUGACCAAAAGAAGUUAGGGGCUAACAUCACGAAAAAAUAGGUUUUACUAAAGGCUUAUUAUGAACUUAUUUAGUUAGAAAAAUAGUUAACAUGACUAUAGUUAAACAAUGAAUGGAGCUUCCUAGCAAAUGAAUAACCAGUCGAGCUUUAAGCAAAAUCGUAGAUUAGCUGUAAUACUUGUUUGAAAUGUGAUAAAUGUAAAAUAAAAAUGAUAAUUAAAUACAAAGUGAAAUAUUUUUGCAAAAAAAAAAAUACAAUACAAUCGAGGUCUAAACUUAUUGUCUGUGAGAGUUUUAGUGAUAAUAGAAGAAAUUGUAAAUAUAAGGUUUUGGAUUUAAAACUUCUUACUAGAAAAAAUACUUACAGUAACUGAAACAUUCAGUUAAACUGAUUGUUAUUAGGUUUAAAUUAAUUAUGAAGAUAGAUUGAGAAUGGCACGCGUACUUCAAACUAUAUCAAUAAAACCAUGAUAUGGGUAAGCUGAAUUAAUGUUAAGCCUCUAAAAAUAAGUGGUCUCUGGAAAUAAUUCCUGUAACACUUUUAGUGAUGUGAUGUAUGUGAGAUCAAAAGGUGGUUGGAAAUAUAAAAAGAUAGAUUGAAAAAUGUGUUUAUGAUGCAAUCGAAAUAUUAUAUGGGAUAAUUUGCUACCCAAUUAUAAUUGAUAAUUUAUAUCUCGUGAAAUUUAGAUUCUUGCAUUUUCUACCUCUGUCUUGUUAACAAAAAUAAAGGGAUAAUAUCAGAUACCUCCCCAAAUGGUUUCUUAUAAUAUCAUACAGUACCUCUUAGGUUUUGGAUUGACAUUUCUUAUAACAUUUUAACCCCUUUUGGGGGAAAUGCAAGAAAGUUAAAUUUUUUGUUUCAAUACUACCCUUAUAUUAUCCUACUUAUGAAGCUUACAACAACAAUAAAAAAUAAAAUAAGGUUAAAAAAAAGAUGAAAAUGUGAGAGGUUAUAAAUGCAAUAAUGAGUAAUUUUGUACACAUACAACAACUAUUGCUUAUAUAAUGCACAAUAUUUAACAAAAAAAAGCGAUAUUCCUAGAUAUAUAUUUGGUCAUUAGAUCAAUUUUUUUUAAAAAAAAUUUUUGACUUACUUAUAAAGUUUUUUUCUAUAAGUAGAAUUUGUAUUACGAAUCCUAUGCAUAUAGAGAUUAUUUUACUUUUUAGCACAACUCAAACUAUAUCAUGUAUUUUGACAUAUUUUCAAAAAAAAAAUUUAUUGACUUCCUUAUAACUAUCCACAAAAUUUUUAAAGGUGUUAAUUACUCACCAAAUCCUCCUAAGUAGCUAACUUUGACUAGAUUUAAUUUAUCUGAGUCAUUUGCGGUCCUCCCACAAUUUUGAUAUAGAUAAAUAUGGACUAUUAUUAGAUAACAAUUUGCAACCUACAAAUUUUUGUUUAAAAUUUUAUUUUAUUUGGCUUUUUGGCUAAAUAGUUAUUAAGGACAAGGGUAAUAUUGUCAAUUUAUGACCUUUGAUAAGAAUAUUUAGUCUUGUCAAGUUCACAGAGAAGGUAUGUGAGAUUUUAAAAAUCUCAAGAGAACUGAGUGAUAUUAUGAAAAACCUUAGAUGAUGUUUUUGAAAUUAUCUCAAAAAUAAAACUACAGCAAAAGGUGAACAUCAGGAAACGUGUUUGCUGUAUUUUAAAAAAUAAAAUAAAAUUUUUGUUCUACCCAAUGAGAAUGAUUCAAUUUUACUAAUGAAAUAUGGAGUUAGCAUGACAUAUAUAAUUGAAUAGUGAGUUUCUAAUUUAAUCUUGUACUAUAAUUUUGGAGGGAAAAAAUAUCAAGUUUGAUAAAAUACUAGAUGAAACUUGAUAAUAUUGUGAACAUUUAAUAUCUUUCCCACCGGGUCAGGUAAUGGUGAUUGGCAAUGGCGAUGCAAUAUCAUCAAAUAUGCCUCCCUCAUUUCUUGAAUCGAUCAUAGAACUCGUCUUUUAGCAAAUGAGGAAGGGAUCCUCCGGUUAUUCUGGAUUCCCGUAAAAAUUAUCAAGUCGAAGCGGGCAAUUAACCAGAAAUUUUCUUGCGCCUAUUGAAUUGUAGCAAUAUCUUUCCGCAAAACCUUUUGCACUUUCAUUCUAAGAACCGGUGGACGUAUAAAUAUAUACACUGACAGCAUAUAUGUUAUCAUUUUAAAAUUAAAAUUAUGUGUUAUAAAUCUAUCAAUAUUAAUGUACACUACAAAAUUAAUCCAAUUUUCAAAAGGCUCUAUGUUUUGAAUAAGCUCCUUAAUUGCAUGUGGUAUUAUACACGCAUAUUAAUAACUAUGACUGUCUCUCGCAUUUAUAUAUUUUUCUUAAAAUUUAACAAUUGAACUACAUAUUAUUGGGCAAGACAACAGUCUAGAGUGUCGCAACGCCUUUAAUGACGUAUCAGAAAGACGGCGCUAUAGCGUGGUCAUUCACGUGGGAGUGAUGGGGACCAGAUUAGGGGUGUGCAUUCGGUGCAAAUUCGGUAAUUCGGUGCACUGAAUUCGGUGAAUUCGGUUAUUCUACCUGUAAAAAUUUAAACCGUUUUCAAUUCCAAAUUGGGCAUAACCGAAUUCAUUCCGCAACCGAUUUCAAAUUUGAAAACGGUAAUGAAUUCGGUUAAACCGAAUUCAUCUAUGAUUUAUAAAUUAUUACUGAUUUGAUCCCUAAAUUUAUUCAUAAUUGAACACAUUACUUAUGUUCUAAUCAUUUUGUGGUUUAAUUGGCAUUUAUUUGAUCACUUUUACCUAGAAUUCUUAGUCUAUGAUUUAAGAAACACAUAAAAAGUGAUUAAUUUAAAUUAGAAUAAACCUUAGACUAUACAAUGAUUGGUGAUAAUUUAUGAAUUUAUAAUUUACAAUGAUUAAUUAUAAGCAAUAUUAGUUAGUAGUUACAAUGAAUUUAUAAUUUACACUGAUUAAUAAUAAGUAAUAUUAGUUACAAACUUACAAAUUACAAUGAUUAGUGAUAAGUUAUAUUAGUUACAAACUUAUAAUUUAUUUCAAAUCAAAAUAAAAACUUAUUUACUUACACAUGUUAUUGUGAAAGUCAAUACACUAAUACAUUGAUUUGUAAUUCACAUACAUUCACUUACAGUCUUACACUGCUUAGUUGUCUUGUCUAUACUUAAAGCCUUAAGAUUAGUAAAUAGAUAAUAUGAAUUUUAACUUAUUUGAUAACUUAUGCGUAAAAUCAUUAGUCUAUGAUUUAAGGAACACAUAAAAAGUGAUUAAUUUAAACUAGAAUAAACCUUAGACUGUACAACGAUUAGUGAUAAUUUAUGAAUUUAUAAUUUACAAUGAUUAAUAAUAAGUAAUAUUAGUUACAAACUUACAAAUUACAAUGAGUAGUGAUAAGUUAUAUUACUUACAAACUUAUAAUUUAUUUCAAAUCAAAAUAAAACUUAUUUACUUACAUAUAUUAUUGUGAAAGUCAAUACACUAGUACAUUGAUUUGCAAUUCAUAUGCAUUCACUUACAUUGCUAACUACUUAGUUGUCUUAUCUAUACUUAAAGUCUUAAGAAUUAAGAUUAGUGAAUAGAUAAUAUGAAUUUUUAUGUUAAAUAUGUAGAGUACACUAAUACUUGCAAGUUAGAGAUUACGCAUUCAAAUAUUCAAUAAUUCAAACAUGAAUGAUGUAUCAAAUUACCAAUAUCUAAAUUUAAUUACUAAUUAUGUUUAUUGUUUAAUAUUUAGUAUUAUACAUAUAUGUGUUAAUUAUUAUCUAAUUCUAGUCAUGUUACUCAUGUAUAAAAUAAUAAGUAUUAUAGUUAUCUUAUAUUGUUAUGUAUUACUAUAUAUUGGUAUUAUUAUAGUCAUAUAACAAUUAACAAAUACUAAAAUAAUAUAUUGUACAUUAUUAUAUAUUAUUAUUAUUAUAAGUACAUGAUAUGAUGAUAAAUUGAUAAUACCAUAUACUAAUUAUUAUUAAUAGCAUUUACCUAUAUAAUAUAAUAAAGUAUUAGUAGUAUAUACUAAUACUAAAUAACAUUUAUCUAUAUAUUAUAUAAUUUUAUAUACCAAUUUGGUAAUUCGAAUGCGGUAAUGCGGUACCCGAUUUCAAUUACCGAAUUUGAAUGCGAAAUCGGUUAUUACCUAAUUCAUAAUCUCAUUACCUAUUUCAUACCAUAUUAGAAUUCGGUGAAUUUGGUACGUACCGAAUUUGUACCAAAUUAUCAAAUACCCGAUUUCAAAUUACCAAAUUAAAUUUGAAAUCGGUUAUGAAUUCGGUAAAAACCGAAUUUGCUCACCCCUAGACCAGAUGGCAUCGGCGGUGUAGCAGUAGAGCCCGUAGGAUCUCAUACGUUCUAGAUCAGAUGGCGAUUACGUGACGUCCUAACUCGUAACUCCCCAGGGACACGAACCUUCGGGAGAAUGGGACCGGAGCGGAGAAGCUCUAAUAAGCGAGGAGUGGUAAUGCGAAGUCCGCUUCAGCCUUCAGGUAUCAGGUGGUAGGUAGUCGCAAUCAGAGAAAGCUGAACACGACACGUGUUGAAAUCUCUGUGUUUGAUUGCCGCCUCACCAGAAUGCACUGGUACUAUCGAUCCUGUGCGGGCGGGUCUUGACUAGUACAUUUAUAAAUUUUAAGGCACAGGCGUGAUGGCACAGGAGUCUUCUGUUUUGGCAAGUCGUCGGCUCCUCGUUUCACUAUUCUUGCCCUGUUCGAAGGGCGCCAAAACAUCCCUCUGCCUGCAUUUGUCUAAAUCUUUUUGCUACUUCAAGUAGUUUUUUUCUUUUUCUUUUUCUUUUCUGGUCGGCUUUCUCUUUUCUCUUUCUUUCUUCCACUUUUGGGUCGAUGUCGGUGUUUCAGGUAAAUAAAGAGAGAUUUUCUGAUUGUGUUUUUUUACGCAAAUGACAGAAUAUCAUAACAAGUACAGGAUUAAAUUAUCAAAUCAGGAUGACGCUGGAUUGUGUUAAAUGUAGUAUCUGUGGAAGAUCACACAAUUAUUUGUUUAGGCAUAAAAUGCAUUACUUACAAUCAAUCUACGAUAUAUAUAAUUUAAUAACAUUAUAAUUGGGCUUGUUCUCAGUUGUUCUAGAUUUUGCAAAAUUGAUUAUCAAAAGUGAUUAUAGAAUAUAAUCAGAAUCAGCAAAUUCUAGUUUGUUUGGAUACAGUAGUAUUAUUUGAAAUAAUUACUGUAUCACUUUUUGAUCACUUUUUGUGAUAUGAUAUAUGUGAGAUCAAAAAGUGAUUUGGAAUAUAAAAAGGUGGAUUGGAAAAUAUGUUUAUGAUGCAAACAAAAUAUUAUUUGACAUAAUUUGCUAUCCAAACACUUAUUCUGUUUUUUGAAUGAUUAUACGAAUGCUAACUUUUUUGGCUGUUAAAAAUCUGUAAUCUGAAUAUAAGAGCAAAUGAGAACAUCUCAAUUACUAAUUAUUCAUAACCAAAAUCUAUAUUUAGUUAAAAUAAUCAACCGAGAACAAGCUUAGAGAGAAUAAUCAAAAUCAAUAAAAGUUACUCUUUGGUUGAUUAUGAAUUACAAGGCCUUACCUUGUUUGGAUUGCAGUUUUCCGUCGGAAAAUUACGUCGUUUUCCGUGAUCACAUUUCCCUAUUACCUUUUUUCCUCACAUACAUCAAAUCGCUACAGUAAUUUUUCCAUGAAAAAUCAUGAGAAAUGCAAUCCAAACACAAGUUUUUCUAGUUAUUAAAAAGCUAUAAUCUGAACAACAAAAGUAAAAGAGAUGUGGGGUUGCACCUUACAAGCUGACUUGCUAAUAAAUGAAUUCACCACUGCCGUUGGCUUUUUCAUGGGAUGUUUGUGGGGUUGCAGGCCAUCAGAUGCAGUGCCUUAGAAACCGCUAACGUACGAAGGCAAAUAAAAUCUUUCGCCCAUGAUUAGAAGCGGUAUCGCAUCUAAAACUCAGUUUUACGGUGGUAUUUGUGAAUGACUGUUCCUACAUGAGAUAAGAAUUACAUGUUUCAGUUUUAAUGCAAUUGAGAAAGUGUAACGAAAAAAAAAAGAACCAAAAUCAACCUGGCGCCUCUAGGAAAUAUUUUGUAGAUUCUUUUCUUUAUAACUCAACAACUGAAACUGAAGGGGUAGUUGAAUGACAGUGCAUUGUACUUAUGGCCGUAGAGUUUUGUCAGUCCAUCACCGUGCACUGGAUCUCAACUCAAGGAUGUUCAGCUUUAAAGGUUGCUGAUUUUUGCUGGUGCCCCUCCCAAAAAUUCGCAAGCUUUAGGUUUUCUUUUCUAUUCACAUAUGAUUGGAUUUUUGACACAAAGAUUUGCAGGAAAGUACCACAUGUUGUAAAUUUAACAAUGUUCAAGACGAUAGGACAUUAACAUUCACUGAAGAAUAACAUUUCUGGGUCGUAUUGCUUUUCUGAAAUUAUUGUCAUUGUUACUAGGUGAUAUUAUUGGCUCUCUCUCCCACUACGUGAACUAAAAAGUCUAAUAACACCCAACACUAGUAUCAAAGUUCGAUGUACAACGCCGUCUUCCAAUAAGUUAUUAGGUGACAUUGGUUCUCUCUCGCACUCCAUGAACUAGAGAGUUCAACAACACCCAACACUACUAUAAACGUUUGGUUACAACUAGGGCUGCAAACGAGCCGAGUCGAGUCGAGUUUUGAGCUAAUCGAGCCGAGUCUCGACUAAAUUUUACUAAACUCGAGCUCGACGAGCCGGCAAUUUUCAAGCUCGAGCUCGACUCGAAUCAAGUCGAGCCGAGCUCGAGUCGAGCUCGAAAAAAAUAAAAAAAUAAUUAUUUUAUUUUUUAAAAAAUAAAUAAAAUAAUAUUUUUUUCUUAAUAAAUAAUAAAAUAUUAAGGAUAUAUACGUAAUUUUACUAUGAAAAUAAAAAAUAAAAAAAAAUAUAUAUAAUAUACGUAAUUUUAUUAUUAAAUAAUAUAUAUAUAUAUAUAUAUAUAUAUACUCAAGCUCGUGAGCCGGCUCGCGAGCUAACGAGCUUAAUAUUCUGAGCUCGAGUUUGGCUCGAGCUCGACUCGAGUUUGACUCGAGCCGUUCGCGAGCGGCUCGAUUCGUUUGCAGCCCUAGUUACAACACCUUCUUCCAAUAAAUACUCGGAUGGAAAAUUGAUGAUUUUAUCCAACCUAGGACUUGAUGUGUGAGUUGGAGGGAGGGGGGAUUGUUGAAUUUAUUUCCCAUCAAUUCCAGGUAGUAACAAUGUGCUACUUAUUAAUAAGUACGAGGGAAAGUCUGUUUGGAAAGUCAUUUUCCGUCAAAAAAUUGCUACGUUUUCCGUGAAUACAUUUCUCUAUCACUUUUUUACCUCACAUACAUCAAAUCGCUACAGUAAUUUUUUUACAAAAAAUCCAGAAAAAUGCAAUCCAAACACAACCAAUUAAUAGUUCUUUGAGCCAUUUUUUUACAGUGAGAAAACUUAAUAGCACCCAAUAGUUGUCCAAAAUUUUACUAACAUCAAGUUGUCUAAAAAAUCUUACUAACAUCACGAACCGACUGAUGGUGGUGAUACAUUUUUUUGCACUUCUACUUUACAAGUUAACAAGAGGUUCUUUUGUUUAUCCCACUCAGAAUUCUUCUAACGAUUUCUUCUUUCUUGUUUCAAAGUUGGUAUCACUAAUGUGUAGAGGUGAUAUAUGACAGCAUUUUCAUCACAAAUUUGAACUAAUUUUAAAUUUUGAUAUAAUAAAUCAAUGUAAUAAUACUCCAAAUAUGAAAGAUAGAACUCGAGUUGAAGCCUGCAUUGGAGAUUGAAACCAUGAAAGCUCGACUUGGAAUGUCCAUCCAUAUGGAGCCAAGCUUGAAGAAAACUAGAAGUCUAUAAUAUGUAUGCUCAGUUCAGGCAACAAACUCAGCCAACAUUCUUUUUUCUAUCAGGUUACAAUUUUCGGCAAACAUCCUCCAUUUAUAUUUAUUUCUUUCCCUCGUAUAAGUUUCAUAGACCAUAAUGUUACGCAUGUCAACAGUAAGAUCCCAAUUUAAACCUCCCUUAAGGUAUGAAUUUGGCAUCUUCAUUUUGGGUACACAUUUCGCAAUUCUCUUGCAAGUUUCACUUGGAAUAAUACCACAUGUUUUUUCUCCAUUAGUCAGAGGAAAAAAAAAAAGAAAAAAAGAUGUCGGAUCUCCAUCAGCAUCUUCUAUUCUUUAUACAAUCAUGCAUGGACAAGAAAGUUUUCCGAUGAGCACAUACAACUUGUAACCAUGUGGCUACUUCAGUCCCAACGAUCGAGGGUCUUACUCAUGUCAUUCAACCCCAGUGUCUUGUAAGACAUAGGAGAUGGAAAAGAAACAGGAAAAAUGUAAAAGGUCCAGAUAAGGUCAACCAACUUAUCACUAACUUUAUAAGCAUCAAAUUGAUAUAGUCCAACUGGGCUCUUGUGAUGGGAACACCUGCAUAACGAGUCCUUCUGGUGGAAAAUUCUCAACUAUCUCGCGGUGACGAGGCAUAUCCAAAAUCUGUUGUCAUUAUUGUCUCGCUUGAACUGCUUUGUUGCUUGAUGGAUAUGACCACUAAAAGAAAACAAAAAUGUACACGUAACUUGCUUCCCAAUAUUCUGCAAUGCAACUUUUCAAAGAAAAACUGAAAAAGUUUAGUCCAUCAUAGAGAAGAUGAUGCCCACUUUGUAGUUCUUGGCACUAUAGCCACUGUCAAUUCUAGGCGACUGUGUUCUUCACGUUGCUGCGUUGCACCAAUCUUCCACGGUUUUCCGAAUCUUGUUUUCGUUUUCUCUUGCUUGCAGUUAUAUGUACUUUUCAUGUUUAUUUAUUUAUAAAAAAUCAUAAUUUCAUUCAUGAGAUCAGCAAUAAUGGUAGAAAACACAUCAUCAGACAUGUUACAAAAACAACAACAAAAUUUCUAUGACUUACAUACACACCAGAUUUGAGAAAAUAACGAAUAUUAAUUACAUAAUGAAUCUCCAAUCUAUUUCAGAUGAUAUCAAUCUCUUUGAACCCAAUAGAGAAACAUCUGUGCAUGUCUUCUCUUACUUGAUUUACCGUUUAACUGUUUCAAAUCCAUACAUCAAGUUGAGAUCUCAGAAAUUUCAAAUUUAGUAAACAACUUUGAAAGAUUGAAACUUGACAAAGAAAAAAAAAACGUAAACUACAAGUAAAUUCUCGCUAAAAAUCCUAAAAGAGAAGAUUCUCUCACUUUAAAAAAAUGACCCUUAAAAAACUCUAGGAGUAAGAAGUCUCUUAUUAAGAAACCCUAAAUACCGGAAACUCUCAUUAGAAAAACUUUAGCAGAUUCUCUCACUAGAAGGUCCUAGAAAAGUAUACGAGAAAUCUUAGGAGAGAAGGAUUUGGUGCUUUAGAAUAUUGAAUGGCUAGAAAGUCAUGAAUUCUGCUUUUGUGGGAGCAACACUCUUCAUGUUCUUAAGGUGUCGGGAUUUUAUCGUCCGUUUCGAAAUUCAGUUUCGGGGUUUUAUCUGUUAUCCUUAUCCAAAAUGAGCAAUUGAAUGUCAAUUUGUUGGUAGGAAGCUACGUGUGCACAUUUUUUACGGUUAAAAAAAAAAAAAAAAAAAAGGGAAAAUCCUAUUCUGAUCCACAAUUUAUAAAAUAGAAAUAAAUUAAAUGAUAUAUAGUUCAACUCUCCUUGAUUUUUAGACAUCUCAUAUUUGCAUCUAUCUAUCGCAUAGGCAUAUCAUCUUUUAAAAUCAUUUUUCCUAAGUAGACUCUAAAAGCAAGCGUGACACAAAGUUAAAAACUAGUGAUGCAACAUGAAUAAUGAUAUUUCUAUAUAUACCACAUCACAUCUAUUUAGUUGCCACCAAAAUUCUUUUUUAACACAAAAUGUACCAAGUAAAUUGAACAAGUGUUCGUGGGCAAAGUCGCAGCAAUGAUGAUCCGGAAUGUUUUCCCACGAAACAAAAGUACAGCGCUCGAAAAAGGUGGUGUUGCUCCCAGUUCCAGAUACCCAGAAUUGUACUCGUAACCCUAUCGGCCUAUAUUAGCCAAGCAAAAGUGGAGUGAGUAUAAAAUAAAAUAAAAUAAACUUUGAGACUCCUUAGGAUUCCCGAAAAUACGGCAGACAGUUUGGGGCUCUGACUCCCUCCAAUCAUGCUGUACACCCUGCAGCUUUUUUUGAGGCUUUGGCAAUCAUUGAGAUGGACAACGUUUGUGAAGCAAAAAAUGUCCAUUACGUAGACAAAUUCAUCGGGACAUCCAUUCUAGAAAAGAUUUAGACAAAAAAGAAUCCAGUUGGAAACGUACAAACACUAAACUCUUUUGUCUAGCAAGAAGCCGACGACGUUAGAAGUCAUGCAAAUCAAUUUUGAUUGCACUGAACCACUCAGCUUAGAUUCCUCUGCGGAUUAAGAUUCUUCUUUGGAAAGUAGAUUAGUAGAGGUUCGAACUCUACCUCUACAAUGAAAAAAAUUCAUUCAAAGUAGGUGUCAAAACACCCUUUUUAUCUAAUAGGUUAGUCCCUUAUGCACCGUGUUUUUAGCCUCCUCUCUUCCCUGGAUUAGGAUUAGAUUAUUAAGUUACAAAAAUGUUAUCAGUACCGUAAAAAAAAAAGAACUUUAAUUGCGCUGCACCAACGUAAGGUAGCCAGCAAUUUGGAUUAAAGAAUUCUAAUUUGGCUUCGUAACGUCUCAUUUCCUAUUCAUGUCAAUGAAUUACAGCAGCCCCCUUUUUUUUAAAAAAAAAAAAAAAAAAAUAAGCUGCUUCUGCUCAAGAAGUGUAAACAUGGAGUAUCGUAACCAAAAAUAGUAUGUGCAAGUAUAUCAUGUGGUGUACGUGUACUGUAUUUGUCCAUAAAUGGAUUUGCAAUUUAAGGACAAGUCCACAGUGAAAUUCAAAUACAGGCUUAAACAUUUAAGAAUUGGUAUAUAGUAGUAAUUCUUUUCAACCUUUGAAUGUGAUACAUAUAUAUAUAUAUAGACACACACACACAUAACCUUUAUUCACAUUUGCAAAAUUCCUUUUACCACCACACACCAGAUGUGUGUAUCUAUUUGUUGGUAUUAAGAAAAAAAAAGUCACAAUUAUAUUAUCCACGUGAGAAAAUUUCAACUAAAAUUUUGAGCUCUUUUUUUUUUCCCUUUUAAGGAGGGGGAGAAUUGAGUUUAAGAAGCUGGUAAUGAAACUAGAAAUCGGAAUCCAGGGCCUCUGAGUGUUAGUAACUUAACCUCAACUGCAAGAGCUGGAAAUGCAUAAUGUAUCCAUUUCCGGGAAGAAAAAGGCUGCGAGUCUCUAAAUUUUGGUAGCCCUUUUGGGGCUGAAAAGGAAAAGUUUGUCGGCCGUCGACGAAUUGUACGCACAACCGUUUAUCGAACUCGCAGUUCAGCAAUUAAUGUCAUUUUAUGCAUGUACUCCUCGUACGGACUGCUACCAUCCUGACAGCUAGCUGUUACUCUAAACCAGCUUCAUAUUAUAGUUUCAUUUAAUAUAACCCCUGGUCGGCGGGUACACAUAUUUCUGGUAGAUUCAGGAUCAUAUUCUGUUUAAAUGAAGCUUCAACAUUUUCAUUAAAUCUGGCCUCUUCUUGUACAUAAAUUAUAAAGUGAGGUACUCCAGCUUCCAUUGUAAGAGCAACCCUGCUUUGCGACAAUAAAUAGUCGACAUGUUCUAUCAAACUAAUGAAAAAGACUACAAAUAGUAGUGUCUCGGCUACUACUCCGCUUGUUUCUCCAACUAAGAAUAAACAUGACAUAUAUCAUCAUCAGUCAAAUACACUGAAUUGCUAUAUUAAAAUGUGGAGACUAAGCAGCAGCCCAAUACGAAAUAGCUGCUGGAGAUCUUAAUAUCUUAAACAUACUUGCCUCUAUAUUUUGGCUUUGAUUCCUUGCUGAAUUUUGUGCCCCCUGCAGCAUUAAGCUGCAUGUCAAGCGGACUAAAGACGGCUGAAUGAAGAUUGCCAUCUUCCAACCACUUGAGAUGGUUUUCCCUGAACUCCAAAUGUUUGAUUCUAGCUGCCUCUGCAAUGUCAUCUGUAUAUGGCGCAAUCUUCACCAUGGUUAACAACACACGACUGUACCUGAAGCUUAGGAUCUGCUCACAGCUUGCAACCAUUUUCAAACAUGGGUGCUCAGGAAAACUGGUAUCAAUUGUGUCUUCCUCUCUCAGUACAGGAUAGAAGUACACAAGCCUUCCACCCAUUACAAGCAUCCUAGCAGCAAGGUCAAGCAAGUCGUGUACACACUCCACUAAGCUGUAAGGAGCAGUGGAAGGUAUGUGGUCAUUCCUUUUGUCAUCAGGAACUGUAUACGGGCCCACUACCCCUUUCAAAAGCUUUCUGCCACCAGAUUUACGGCCCCCAGCACGAACUCCAUAAGGAGGAUCACAUAUUAUACAAUCAAACACCUAAAAGAAGCACAACGAAAUUCAUAAACCAUGCAGGCAAAGAACAUGCCCAAACACAAUCACGGGCAUACAAGUCUAACGAAUGAAAAAUGCUGUGCAUAAACGUACAGGCAGGAGCUUCUUUGUUUUUUUCUUUUUUAAUGCCAAACUCCAAGGCGACCAGCUACUAGGUUCUAUUACUAGGACCACCCUACUACACAGGGAAACCCUAUUCCAUUUAGCUCAGACAUAGGAUAUAAUACAAUUCCAUUGUCCCUGCCAAAUAAAGCUAUCUUACUUCUUGUAUUCAUAAAUCUUGACUAAAAGCAAGAGAAUGCAUUCACAAGUUAAUACAACUCCUCUGCUUCAAAAUAGCAGUGGAUGGCAGAUAUUUUAACUCUACAUCUGAGACUUUACCACCAAGAGAAAAAUGUUUUGUUCAUUGUCUGCUAUCCAGGUAAUGAUGGAAGAGAAUUUAGUCUUCUCUAUAAUGCUGGAGGGAUAGAAGGACAUGAGAAGUUUAGCCAUGACAAAGACUACCAGCCUUAGCAUGUUCUUAGGACUUGUGGGUCAAGAGGAAAACAAAAGAUUUUAAGGAUAAAAUGUCACAUGAAAGUCCUUGCUUAAUCUAUUCCAGGAGUAAGCAGUUCAUCCCACACAGUUAUUGAUAUGCUGGUGGACUACAGUGGUACAUUUUAAGCUAAUCCUUGUACCAGAUUUGUUUCAAGCUUUUUUUAACUGGAGAAGGGGGAAAAACUGUCAUUUAUUGUCCUUGACCAGGAUUACUUACCUCCUUUAGUCCAGGACGCCAAGGCGGGAGGUUGUUGUCUGCCCUCAACAGAGAAAUUGGCAUGGGCAAUCCAUACUGCCACGAAAGCCAUAUAGAUGAGCACUACUUUGUAAGUAUUCACAAAAAAAAUGUUGAAGUAUAAAGUUUCACUGCAUAAAACAAGAUAAAAAUAAUAAUCAUAAUAAUAGAAAGUCAAUUUCCGUAUCUUAACCUGUUUGAAAUUGGUCCAGACAUUACAAUCAGGACCACGACCAUCACGAACUACGCGAAUAUCGAUAUCUGCACCCUGAGAAAUUCACAUUAAUGGCACGCAAAAGCAAAAGAAAUCUUAAUGUUUUCAACCAAAUGUAAGGUAUCCAACCAGAAAUGUUAUGUGAAACAAAGCCUAGUAACAGAAGUUUUAGUGCACAUAAAAUCACACACCAUUGUCAUUGCUCCAAAAUGAGCUGCAGCAAUCAGGAUGCUUCCAGUACCAACAAAAGGAUCAUAGACAAGUUUCCCAGUUUUGGCCUGUGCUUGAUUGGCCAUCAGGAAAGCCAUCUCUGCAUCCAUGGCUGUGGGACCAAGGUAAGUGCGGCUUUUUAAUUGGUAAGUUGGCAGAAGCUUCCUAUCUGCAGCCCCAAUCUCUCGACCAAAAAAAAUUCUUCUGCAGACAAUGGGAGGAAGCCCAUUGUUAGAUCCGUAAUUAUCAGUUUCCAUGAGCCAGAACUUGUGAUCAGGGUGGCUUAGAUUGACCUGGCCCUGUAAGAACCAAGGUCACUUAGCAUCUGCUAACAACAGGAACUAUCACCAAAAAAAAAAAAAGAGGAACAAAGUUGGCAACUUCUAUGAACAAUGAUCCUUUCACCACAUUAAGAGGGACUAUGCAAAGAUCUGUACGUAUGUCCAAAGAUGACAGUUACCUUUACAGGUCUCACAAUUACCACCAUAGCUUAAUGCAGAAAAAGAAACACAAAAGUAAUGCUAGACCAAGAAAAUUUUAUGUACUUGCUGGUACCCACUAUCAUACCCUUCUUUCCCAAAACAUUAGAGAAACAAGAUAGGAAAGUUAUCAGUACAUCGAGAUUCUUAAAGGCAAAACAGAGCAAUUUAUCCAAGAUUGGUGUAUCAACGAAACAGAAGAGAAAGUAAGACCAUGGAGCAGAUGAAACACCUGAAACUCAAUUUCAGACACAAGACUGCAUGAGACUUUUCCUUUUAACCUGAAACUGCAAUAGUCAAAAAGUAGCACCCAGCACCACUUUGCAAGAUAUUAGAACACCUACCCACUUUUAAAUACUAAAAUUUACUUUGCAAUUCCAAUCAAUCAGGAAUACACUUUGUGAAACCAAAAUUCCUAAAAUAACUUUGACAUCAUACUCAUGAUGGGGGGAAAUGCAUUAUGUUGUGCCCCUAAUAAUGAGACAAUCAGAAAGGGAUACACAGAUACAGCUUCACAACUGUUUGGCAUAUGGGGAGGCAACCUUGCGGACUUAUCAAUGUUGGAGAUUUUAUAAUGUCUGAGUUCCUUUCACAUUGUUCUUACAAGUUACGAUUUUCAGACAAGGAAGGCAAAAAGGAAAAAGGAAUUUUAAGAAAACAAAAAAGAUAUCAUAAAUAGCUAUAAUCUUAUCUUCCAACAGGAAGCAUGCAGAAGUAAGGCUAGUUCAGAGAACCAAAAAAAAUUCGUAGCAUAGUCUACCAUCUAUCAAAAUAAUCCAAAUUAAAAGCCAUGCAAGGUAUCAUCUGACAUGAACAACAGAUAAUCUAAGCAACAGAAAAAGGAGAGGAUCAGAUCUUUAUACAAAUAGAAAAAGGAGAUAACCAAACCUUAAAUGGAAUGUAAGAGAGCUGUUGAAUACGAUCAUUCUGCUCUUGAAAGCUAACAACUUUCCCAAAACUGUCCACAGUAAUCUUGAAUGUGCUUCCAGAUGUAAGGUAUGGCAACUUCUGCUCAUCUGGACAACUUUUUAUAGCCUCUUCCAGCUCCUCAAAGCUACUUCCUUCACCCCAGAGCUCAUAAAUCCCUUUUACAAGAAUGCCUAAACAUCCAAGACUUCAAUUCGUCAUAUACUCAUUCACGCUUCAAGGUGACUAUUGACAAUAAGGAAAUAAUUGUGUUGAAUCAGAGGAAAAUCUAAAUUGAGCUCCAACCAAAAGGAAAAAUGGAUAUUUAUGGAAAAUUCUGAUCUGAGUAAAUGUCUAGUUAAACAAUCCCAAGAUAUAACAUGAUUUUCAACUUCCUUAACAAUCACGGUUAACUCCUUCAAAUGGAGUAAAUAUUCUCUGCUUUUACGCAAGAAAUGAGAAGCAUGCAAGGAUACGGAUAUUAAAUUGCAUAUAUGACAAGAAUGAUGAGGCGCAUAUAACAAUCCAGAACAAAGAUUAUCAACGAAUUAGCUGUAGGGGCUGUUGUCAACUAGCAUAUUAACAUUUGUCUGGACACCGUGCUUCUCUACAACCUAAAUGAAGAUCUAUAAAAACUCGGCAGUACCCAUAACCAAUUGAAAAGAAAAAUUUUAGUCUAAUUUUCUUUAGCUAUAAAACUUACUCUUCUUCUUAAAAGCAAGCUAACAAAAACAUACCCUCCACUGCAAACAACAUAUUAUGAGGAGAAUAUAUUCAAGCGCAACAGCUAUUACAGCCACUUCAGUUUAAGCAGCAAGAUUCAGUAUUCUUUUCCCCUUCUACUACGAGAAGGCCCCAAAGAAAAAACACAAUAAAUUAUCAAAAUAACAAAAAUAAUUGGAGGUAAAUAUAGUAAAUAAUAAACAAAAGAAUGUAUUAGACAAACAAAAGGAGAUCCCUUGUUGCUUACUUCUAUUGGCUAUAUUGCAGGCGAUUUGUUCAGAUGGAAGAUUAACAAAAUGGAAGGGAGAAUCAGGGUGGUGGUCCUCUGGAAGCCUCCACUCAAGCGACUUCGAUUGUGGGUCGGUUUCUUUAUCAAAGGCCCCAAAGAGGUCUGCUAGAGAUUCCACCUCCGGCCUUCUGUAGUCCAGCAACCUGUGGUAAAAUACGCAUAGAUACCACAUUAUUUUGUGCUUCCUUUUCUUUUGCUAACUUUUAUUUUUCGCAGAGAUAGUAGGACAGAGUGGUGGUCGCCCAAGUUGUUAACAGCGGACGGCGGCUGCCGGAUGGCGGCGGAGGAGCUGUACUACUCCUCCAGAAGUGAGGUGUUCCGAUACCAAAAUCCAAAACCCAAAACGCCAAAGCCCUGCCACCGCGCAAGGAUGUUCCGCUAAUAAGUUUAGUCACACGUUCUUUUCUAAGUUAAAUUAAAAAUAUGUGGGGGACUCCAAUUUUUGGCAUCAAAAUAUAACUGGUUUUUAUUAAUCGAAAGUGUUGCGACGUUAAAAAUUCAAAUUAAGUUAUACUACAUAAAUAUUUUUUAUUGAAUUUGACCUUCAAAAUGUCAAUUCAGUUGGAAUUAAGAAUUUAUAUUGAAUGCAGCAACGUUCAAGAAAUCUCAUUCAAGUUAAAAUUAAGAACUUGUACGGACUGUGAAUCUCAAAAAAUUAAAUUCAGUUAAAUUUGAAAUUUUGUUUUGAAUGCAAAUUCAAAAAAUUAAAUUAAAUCAAACAUAAAAACUUUUUACUGGAUGUGGUGUUCAAAAUAACUACGUUGGUUAAGUUAAGAUUUUGUAAUCAGUGUGGUGUCCAAGAAAUUAUAUUCAGUUAAUAAAAAAUUUUGUCGUAAACAUGACUUUUAACGGAUCAAAUUAAGUUAAAUUCAAAAUUUUGUAUUGAAUUCAAGUUUAAAAGAUCAGGUUAAACCUAAAAAUUUUUGUCGAAUGUGACCUUCACAAUAUCAAAUUUAUUUAACAUCAAGAAUUUCGUAGUAAGUGUGACUUUCAACAAAUCAAAUUCAAUUAAAUUCAAAGUUUUGUACUAAAUCUCUUUUGCUUUUUUGCAGGUGUUUGCAUCCAUAUGCUUAUUAUUGUACACACGCAUUCAAAAAUCUGUACGUAUAUAUAUAUAUAUAUGCAAGUGUAUGUCUCUUGACCUUUUCUAAACUGAAGUUUAAAAAUUCGGCUUUUAUAAAACUAAUCCCAGAAGAAACCUCAAAAGCCGGCAACUCUUGAGGUCGUCCCAGGGACUUAUAAACCAAACCCAAACCCCCCCCCCAGAACCGAUGUAUGCAAGUGUAUGUAGUAGUAUGCAAUUUAAAUAUUUGACUGAUUACAUAUAGUAGUAACUCUUUAAGUUAAUUGGAUAUUAAGUACCAUUCAUUCCAACAGUUGACUAUAUUUUGAAUCGAAAUAAUUGUCAAUCAAUUAUGUUUUGAUAAUACUUUGAUGAAUUGGCCUCCAUCCUGUUUAAAAACUGGCAAAACCUUCGUGCAAAAUAUCCUUUUUGAAGUUGUGUGAUUUUGUCCUCCCAAUCGACGGUUAAUAAGGCAGAAGAUAAGCAACAACUGGCUAUUUCUUUCAUAUCACAUACAUAUAUAUAUAUAUGUCCUAAUAUGCAGUGGUACAUCAAAGUCACGAAAGUCUUUCAAAUACAUAUGCUGAUAUGCAACUAGGCAAGUAAAUCUUAAGCUAUUGAUUUCUUCUUGAUCCUUUUUUUCUCCCCACUCUCUCCCUUCCCACUUUACGUCUGGGGAUACGUCUGGGGAAUAAAAAUUUGCAGCACAGAUGCAGAGUCAAACAUGCCUUUUUCCCCUCUUUCCAAGUUAAUUUGUGAAUUGUGCGGAACAAUCUUAACAGUUGAGCAGAAUUCUCGAAUUGCCAUCUACACGAAUAUGACCUCAAAUUUAGCACAAGGAUUGCUUUCUAUGUGAUUUCUAAACUCACUGUCCCCCUUAAAUGUAAAGGUAUACAAUGCCUGUCUCUGUGUCAUGCCAAGAGGAUAUAUUC
This 22526-nucleotide long non-coding RNA is filed under the name Coffea arabica (coffee). Its description in RNAcentral is "long non-coding RNA (CARA_LNC001631)". Lineage: Eukaryota; Viridiplantae; Streptophyta; Magnoliopsida; Gentianales; Rubiaceae. The record is from RNAcentral.